This 465-nucleotide ribosomal RNA is filed under the name Vreelandella stevensii. RNAcentral's name for it is "partial 16S ribosomal RNA". It matches the Rfam family "Bacterial small subunit ribosomal RNA", at positions 338 to 795 of the family's 1533-position model. Lineage: Bacteria; Pseudomonadati; Pseudomonadota; Gammaproteobacteria; Oceanospirillales; Halomonadaceae. The record is from RNAcentral.
CCUACGGGAGGCAGCAGUGGGGAAUAUUGGACAAUGGGGGCAACCCUGAUCCAGCCAUGCCGCGUGUGUGAAGAAGGCCCUCGGGUUGUAAAGCACUUUCAGUGAGGAAGAACGCCUGGUGGUUAAUACCCAUCAGGAAAGACAUCACUCACAGAAGAAGCACCGGCUAACUCCGUGCCAGCAGCCGCGGUAAUACGGAGGGUGCGAGCGUUAAUCGGAAUUACUGGGCGUAAAGCGCGCGUAGGUGGCUUGAUAAGCCGGUUGUGAAAGCCCCGGGCUCAACCUGGGAACGGCAUCCGGAACUGUCAAGCUAGAGUGCAGGAGAGGAAGGUAGAAUUCCCGGUGUAGCGGUGAAAUGCGUAGAGAUCGGGAGGAAUACCAGUGGCGAAGGCGGCCUUCUGGACUGACACUGACACUGAGGUGCGAGAGCGUGGGUAGCAAACAGGAUUAGAUACCCUUGUAGUC